Molecule: ribosomal RNA, 2918 nt
Filed under: Pseudomonas syringae pv. maculicola str. ES4326
Lineage: Bacteria; Pseudomonadati; Pseudomonadota; Gammaproteobacteria; Pseudomonadales; Pseudomonadaceae
Description: 23S ribosomal RNA
Rfam family: Bacterial large subunit ribosomal RNA
Source: RNAcentral
GUUAUAUGGUCAAGUGAAGAAGCGCAUACGGUGGAUGCCUUGGCAGUCAGAGGCGAUGAAAGACGUGGUAGCCUGCGAAAAGCUUCGGGGAGUCGGCAAACAGACUGUGAUCCGGAGAUGUCUGAAUGGGGGAACCCAGCCAUCACAAGAUGGUUAUCUUACGCUGAAUACAUAGGCGUAAGAGGCGAACCAGGGGAACUGAAACAUCUAAGUACCCUGAGGAAAAGAAAUCAACCGAGAUUCCCUUAGUAGUGGCGAGCGAACGGGGACCAGCCCUUAAGUUGUAUCGAGAUUAGCGGAACGCUCUGGAAAGUGCGGCCAUAGUGGGUGAUAGCCCUGUACGCGAAAAUCCCUUUGCAAUGAAAUCGAGUAGGACGGGGCACGAGAAACCUUGUCUGAAUAUGGGGGGACCAUCCUCCAAGGCUAAAUACUACUGACUGACCGAUAGUGAACCAGUACCGUGAGGGAAAGGCGAAAAGAACCGCGGAGAGCGGAGUGAAAUAGAUCCUGAAACCGUAUGCGUACAAGCAGUGGGAGCCCACGUUGUUGGGUGACUGCGUACCUUUUGUAUAAUGGGUCAGCGACUUAUUUUCAGUGGCGAGCUUAACCGAAUAGGGGAGGCGUAGCGAAAGCGAGUCUUAAUAGGGCGUCUAGUCGCUGGGAAUAGACCCGAAACCGGGCGAUCUAUCCAUGGGCAGGUUGAAGGUUGGGUAACACUAACUGGAGGACCGAACCGACUACCGUUGAAAAGUUAGCGGAUGACCUGUGGAUCGGAGUGAAAGGCUAAUCAAGCUCGGAGAUAGCUGGUUCUCCUCGAAAGCUAUUUAGGUAGCGCCUCAUGUAUCACUGUAGGGGGUAGAGCACUGUUUCGGCUAGGGGGUCAUCCCGACUUACCAAACCGAUGCAAACUCCGAAUACCUACAAGUGCCGAGCAUGGGAGACACACGGCGGGUGCUAACGUCCGUCGUGAAAAGGGAAACAACCCAGACCGUCAGCUAAGGUCCCAAAGUCAUGGUUAAGUGGGAAACGAUGUGGGAAGGCUUAGACAGCUAGGAGGUUGGCUUAGAAGCAGCCACCCUUUAAAGAAAGCGUAAUAGCUCACUAGUCGAGUCGGCCUGCGCGGAAGAUGUAACGGGGCUCAAACCAUGCACCGAAGCUACGGGUAUCAUCUUAGGAUGAUGCGGUAGAGGAGCGUUCUGUAAGCCUGUGAAGGUGAGUUGAGAAGCUUGCUGGAGGUAUCAGAAGUGCGAAUGCUGACAUGAGUAACGACAAUGGGUGUGAAAAACACCCACGCCGAAAGACCAAGGUUUCCUGCGCAACGUUAAUCGACGCAGGGUUAGUCGGUCCCUAAGGCGAGGCUGAAAAGCGUAGUCGAUGGAAAACAGGUUAAUAUUCCUGUACUUCUGGUUAUUGCGAUGGAGGGACGGAGAAGGCUAGGCCAGCCUGGCGUUGGUAGUCCAGGUUUAAGGUGGUAGGCUGAGAUCUUAGGUAAAUCCGGGAUCUCAAGGCCGAGAGCUGAUGACGAGUGUUCUUUUAGAACACGAAGUGGUUGAUGCCAUGCUUCCAAGAAAAGCUUCUAAGCUUCAGGUAACCAGGAACCGUACCCCAAACCGACACAGGUGGUUGGGUAGAGAAUACCAAGGCGCUUGAGAGAACUCGGGUGAAGGAACUAGGCAAAAUGGCACCGUAACUUCGGGAGAAGGUGCGCCGGUGAGGGUGAAGCAUUUACUGCGUAAGCCCAUGCCGGUCGAAGAUACCAGGCCGCUGCGACUGUUUAUUAAAAACACAGCACUCUGCAAACACGAAAGUGGACGUAUAGGGUGUGACGCCUGCCCGGUGCCGGAAGGUUAAUUGAUGGGGUUAGCGCAAGCGAAGCUCUUGAUCGAAGCCCCGGUAAACGGCGGCCGUAACUAUAACGGUCCUAAGGUAGCGAAAUUCCUUGUCGGGUAAGUUCCGACCUGCACGAAUGGCGUAACGAUGGCGGCGCUGUCUCCACCCGAGACUCAGUGAAAUUGAAAUCGCUGUGAAGAUGCAGUGUAUCCGCGGCUAGACGGAAAGACCCCGUGAACCUUUACUAUAGCUUUGCACUGGACUUUGAAUUUGCUUGUGUAGGAUAGGUGGGAGGCUUUGAAGCGUGGACGCCAGUCUGCGUGGAGCCAACCUUGAAAUACCACCCUGGCAACUUUGAGGUUCUAACUCAGGUCCGUUAUCCGGAUCGAGGACAGUGUAUGGUGGGUAGUUUGACUGGGGCGGUCUCCUCCUAAAGAGUAACGGAGGAGUACGAAGGUGCGCUCAGACCGGUCGGAAAUCGGUCGUAGAGUAUAAAGGCAAAAGCGCGCUUGACUGCGAGACAGACACGUCGAGCAGGUACGAAAGUAGGUCUUAGUGAUCCGGUGGUUCUGUAUGGAAGGGCCAUCGCUCAACGGAUAAAAGGUACUCCGGGGAUAACAGGCUGAUACCGCCCAAGAGUUCAUAUCGACGGCGGUGUUUGGCACCUCGAUGUCGGCUCAUCACAUCCUGGGGCUGAAGCCGGUCCCAAGGGUAUGGCUGUUCGCCAUUUAAAGUGGUACGCGAGCUGGGUUUAGAACGUCGUGAGACAGUUCGGUCCCUAUCUGCCGUGGACGUUUGAGAUUUGAGAGGGGCUGCUCCUAGUACGAGAGGACCGGAGUGGACGAACCUCUGGUGUUCCGGUUGUCACGCCAGUGGCAUUGCCGGGUAGCUAUGUUCGGAAAAGAUAACCGCUGAAAGCAUCUAAGCGGGAAACUUGCCUCAAGAUGAGAUCUCACUGGAACCUUGAGUUCCCUGAAGGGCCGUCGAAGACUACGACGUUGAUAGGUUGGGUGUGUAAGCGCUGUGAGGCGUUGAGCUAACCAAUACUAAUUGCCCGUGAGGCUUGACCAUAUAACACCCAAGCAAUU